Molecule: ribosomal RNA, 2116 nt
Filed under: Salmonella enterica subsp. enterica serovar Paratyphi B var. L(+) tartrate +
Lineage: Bacteria; Pseudomonadati; Pseudomonadota; Gammaproteobacteria; Enterobacterales; Enterobacteriaceae
Description: partial 23S ribosomal RNA
Rfam family: Bacterial large subunit ribosomal RNA
Source: RNAcentral
GGUUAAGCGACUAAGCGUACACGGUGGAUGCCCUGGCAGUCAGAGGCGAUGAAGGGCGUGCUAAUCUGCGAUAAGCGCCGGUAAGGUGAUAUGAACCGUUAUAACCGGCGAUACCCGAAUGGGGAAACCCAGUGUGAUUCGUCACACUAUCAUUAACUGAAUCCAUAGGUUAAUGAGGCGAACCGGGGGAACUGAAACAUCUAAGUACCCCGAGGAAAAGAAAUCAACCGAGAUUCCCCCAGUAGCGGCGAGCGAACGGGGAGGAGCCCAGAGCCUGAAUCAGCAUGUGUGUUAGUGGAAGCGUCUGGAAAGGCGCGCGAUACAGGGUGACAGCCCCGUACACAAAAGCGCAUGUGUUGUGAGCUCGAUGAGUAGGGCGGGACACGUGGUAUCCUGUCUGAAUAUGGGGGGACCAUCCUCCAAGGCUAAAUACUCCUGACUGACCGAUAGUGAACCAGUACCGUGAGGGAAAGGCGAAAAGAACCCCGGCGAGGGGAGUGAAAAAGAACCUGAAACCGUGUACGUACAAGCAGUGGGAGCACCCUUUGGGGUGUGACUGCGUACCUUUUGUAUAAUGGGUCAGCGACUUAUAUUCUGUAGCAAGGUUAACCGAAUAGGGGAGCCGGAGGGAAACCGAGUCUUAACCGGGCGUUAAGUUGCAGGGUAUAGACCCGAAACCCGGUGAUCUAGCCAUGGGCAGGUUGAAGGUUGGGUAACACUAACUGGAGGACCGAACCGACUAAUGUUGAAAAAUUAGCGGAUGACCUGUGGCUGGGGGUGAAAGGCCAAUCAAACCGGGAGAUAGCUGGUUCUCCCCGAAAGCUAUUUAGGUAGCGCCUCGUGAAUUCAUCUCCGGGGGUAGAGCACUGUUUCGGCUAGGGGGCCAUCCCGGCUUACCAACCCGAUGCAAACUGCGAAUACCGGAGAAUGUUAUCACGGGAGACACACGGCGGGUGCUAACGUCCGUCGUGAAGAGGGAAACAACCCAGACCGCCAGCUAAGGUCCCAAAGUCAUGGUUAAGUGGGAAACGAUGUGGGAAGGCCCAGACAGCCAGGAUGUUGGCUUAGAAGCAGCCAUCAUUUAAAGAAAGCGUAAUAGCUCACUGGUCGAGUCGGCCUGCGCGGAAGAUGUAACGGGGCUAAACCAUGCACCGAAGCUGCGGCAGCGACACUGUGUGUUGUUGGGUAGGGGAGCGUUCUGUAAGCCUGUGAAGGUGUGUCGUGAGGCAUGCUGGAGGUAUCAGAAGUGCGAAUGCUGACAUAAGUAACGAUAAAGCGGGUGAAAAGCCCGCUCGCCGGAAGACCAAGGGUUCCUGUCCAACGUUAAUCGGGGCAGGGUGAGUCGACCCCUAAGGCGAGGCCGAAAGGCGUAGUCGAUGGGAAACGGGUUAAUAUUCCCGUACUUGGUGUUACUGCGAAGGGGGGACGGAGAAGGCUAUGUUGGCCGGGCGACGGUUGUCCCGGUUUAAGCGUGUAGGUGUGUGUUCCAGGUAAAUCCGGUUCACUUUAACACUGAGGCGUGAUGACGAGGCACUACGGUGCUGAAGCAACAAAUGCCCUGCUUCCAGGAAAAGCCUCUAAGCAUCAGGUAACAUCAAAUCGUACCCCAAACCGACACAGGUGGUCAGGUAGAGAAUACCAAGGCGCUUGAGAGAACUCGGGUGAAGGAACUAGGCAAAAUGGUGCCGUAACUUCGGGAGAAGGCACGCUGACACGUAGGUGAAGUGAUUUACUCACGGAGCUGAAGUCAGUCGAAGAUACCAGCUGGCUGCAACUGUUUAUUAAAAACACAGCACUGUGCAAACACGAAAGUGGACGUAUACGGUGUGACGCCUGCCCGGUGCCGGAAGGUUAAUUGAUGGGGUCAGCGCAAGCGAAGCUCCUGAUCGAAGCCCCGGUAAACGGCGGCCGUAACUAUAACGGUCCUAAGGUAGCGAAAUUCCUUGUCGGGUAAGUUCCGACCUGCACGAAUGGCGUAAUGAUGGCCAGGCUGUCUCCACCCGAGACUCAGUGAAAUUGAACUCGCUGUGAAGAUGCAGUGUACCCGCGGCAAGACGGAAAGACCCCGUGAACCUUUACUAUAGCUUGACACUGAACAUUGAGCCUUGAUGUGUAG